Beta vulgaris subsp. vulgaris (sugar beet) is the source of this 1612-nucleotide long non-coding RNA. RefSeq lists it as uncharacterized. NCBI's taxonomy places the organism in Eukaryota, Viridiplantae, Streptophyta, Magnoliopsida, Caryophyllales, Amaranthaceae. The transcript is spliced from 3 exons. The record is from RefSeq and is a predicted model, not a curated record.
CGGGGUCGGUUCGAAGAGGGGGGUGGGCUCGAGGGGUUGAGGGGUGGGGGGUUUGAAGUUAGGGUUUGGUUUGUUUUUAGGUGGCGGCGGUUAGGGUUUCGGGGUUAAGUGGUUGGGGUUGGUGCUGGGCUCACUACUAGAAAAAGGGUAUUCUCAUGACGCAUUAUCCUCGGCCUCCCUGCGAACGUUGAGCCAACUCUUACUUCGCGUGUUUUAUCGACGCGGAAUCGUGUUGAGAUAGAAAAUGAAGCACGUGGCAAAUACUAUCCCACACCUAGCCGCGAAUCCGAAAUUUUUGAGCGAGAAAAAACUGAAACCCACUACUACUGCAGCUCUGCCUCACCACUCUCAUACCUUCAAAAUUGAAACCCUCAAAAUUCUCAGCCAUCCCUUUGCUCAAAUUAUAUUCGCUUCUCAUUGAGAGCGAGAAGAGAGAGAUAGAGGGAUAUUGCUCGUCAGAAAUGGCAGUUUCAGGGCUCUUCCUAUUCAAUCUGAUGAGCAUCUUAAGAUCUACCUAAUGAAGCUUUGUGCAUACAAAUGAUGUUCUUGCAAAGUCUAAAUUCUGGUAAACUCUUAAAUCAUUUUGAAAAUAAUGUUUUCGAAUUAUGGGUUUUUAAGGAAUGUAGUGGGUAGAUUUUCAAAUUUAUCUGAGUAACUGGGAGAUGUGAUUAUGAGAAUCUGGGGUGGAUGAUUAGUCCUUAAGGGUUAGUUAAGUUUACUUUGAUAGGAAGAUUGAAAUUCUACACUGUGAAGAAAAAUGCUUGCAGAUUUGCAUUGUUGCUCUUUUGUGUAGCUAUUGCUAGUGUAAUGGUGUUGCUGUUGAUUCUUAUUUCAUUUUUAUGUGUUUUUUUCUUCUGAAUUUCUCUAAUAACGACCCUUGAUGAAUCUCUAAUAAAUCAGAUCAUUUGAUUUUUGUUGAUAUAUUCUUCAAUGUAAUAUGUAAUGAUGAUGUUGUACUAAGGUUUCUAAAUAUAUGUUUCAGAUUUCUCUAAACUAUUACCCACACUUAUAAGAUCAACAUUAGACCAUUUUCUUUUGUCAAUUAAGGCACUCUCCUACAGUAGAUGUAGCAAUUAUUUUAAUGAAGUUUGUAAUAAAGGCUACUGGUGAGCACGAGUCUUUGGUCACUUUUGCCAUUGGCUGAUAUGUUUGACUUCUGUAGUCUAACAAAGGCAUAAGUGACAGACCUGCAAUGAUUUUUAAUGAGCAAGGAUGAACAUAUGAUGCAUGCCAAAUGACUCCAUGUGCCUGAAUUUGAUUCAGUGUUUGGGGCUGAUUAUUAUCAUUGUUGUCGAAUCGCUUGCAAGUUGUGACUUUGUUCUGUAUUAAUAUUAUGAAUCGAGCUAUUGUUGUCUAUUUUUUGGCUCAAAGCUUUUGAUUUUCUGUUACCAGGAGUAUUUUCUGGGCGGUGGUGGCGGCGGUGGGAAGCUGUGGUCUUCAUUCUUUUUUGUUUCUCGUUUUUUUAUUUCUAUUUUUUCAUGCCAUUUUUGUUUUUCCUUUUUUUUCGUUUUAAAUUUUGAUUUUAAAUUUAGGCCCUUUUUCUGAUUUUUUUGGCGUUGCAGGUGUAAAUAAAGGCGGACGGUGGUAGGGAAGACUGGAAGCUGUGGUGUCA